UACGUAGGGUGCGAGCGUUAAUCGGAAUUACUGGGCGUAAAGCGCGCGCAGGCGGCCAUUCAAGUCAGGGGUGAAAGCCCGGGGCUUAACUCCGGAAGUGCCUCUGAAACGGUCAGACUUGAGUCUUGGAGAGGGUCGUGGAAUUCCCGGUGUAGCGGUGAAAUGCGUAGAUAUCGGAAGGAACGCCGGUGGCGAAAGCGGUCUGCUGGACCUCUUCUGACGCUGAGGCGCGAAAGCCAGGGGAGCAAACGGG
Molecule: ribosomal RNA, 253 nt
Filed under: uncultured bacterium
Lineage: Bacteria
Description: partial 16S ribosomal RNA
Rfam family: Bacterial small subunit ribosomal RNA
Source: RNAcentral